AGUGAACGCUGGCGGUAGGCCUAACACAUGCAAGUCGAACGGCAGCGCAGUAAGAGCUUGCUCUUACGGGUGGCGAGUGGCGGACGGGUGAGGAAUACAUCGGAAUCUACUUUUUCGUGGGGGAUAACGUAGGGAAACUUACGCUAAUACCGCAUACGACCUACGGGUGAAAGCAGGGGAUCUUCGGACCUUGCGCAAUUGAAUGAGCCGAUGUCGGAUUAGCUAGUUGGCGGGGUAAAGGCCCACCAAGGCGACGAUCCGUAGCUGGUCUGAGAGGAUGAUCAGCCACACUGGAACUGAGACACGGUCCAGACUCCUAAGGGAGGCAGCAGUGGGGAAUAUUGGACAAUGGGCGCAAGCCUGAUCCAGCCAUACCGCGUGGGUGAAGAAGGCCUUCGGGUUGUAAAGCCCUUUUGUUGGGAAAGAAAAGCAGCAGGUUAAUACCCCGCUGUUCUGACGGUACCCAAAGAAUAAGCACCGGCUAACUUCGUG
RNAcentral lists this ribosomal RNA (492 nucleotides) under uncultured bacterium. RNAcentral describes it as "partial 16S ribosomal RNA". It matches the Rfam family "Bacterial small subunit ribosomal RNA", at positions 29 to 507 of the family's 1533-position model. The record is from RNAcentral.